AUACUUACUGGCGGGGGAGAUACCAUGAUCUUGAAGGUGAUUUUCUCAGGGUGAGACACCCAUUGUACUCCGGGUGUGCUGACCCCUGUGAUUUCUCCAAAUGUGGCAAACUCGACUACAUAAUCUGUGGUAGCGGGGAACUGCAUUCGCAUUCUCCUG
Molecule: small nuclear RNA, 159 nt
Organism: Myotis lucifugus (little brown bat)
Lineage: Eukaryota; Metazoa; Chordata; Mammalia; Chiroptera; Vespertilionidae
Gene: U1
Rfam family: U1 spliceosomal RNA
About the family: U1 is a small nuclear RNA (snRNA) component of the spliceosome (involved in pre-mRNA splicing). Its 5' end forms complementary base pairs with the 5' splice junction, thus defining the 5' donor site of an intron.
Source: Ensembl